UUCAGUCACCAGAACCAAAGGUGGAAAUUAAAAAAAAAAAGAAAGAGAAGAAAAAAAAAAAAAGAAAGAAAACAAAAGAAAAAGAAGAAGAAAGUAAAAAGAAGAUUGUGGACAGUUAUUGGGAAAGUUUUUUGAUAACUCUGAGAAGGACAAGGGUGAAAAUCUUUGACUUGCUUGAUUUCUGGAAAAGUUAUAAGAGGACCUGAUGGAGGAUAUGAUGUUUAGAGACACUGCCACCCUCUUGAGGUCAUGAGGCAUUAUUAGGACUUAAAAACCCAUUUGGUAAUAUGGGUAAAGUAGAAUUAUAUACAGAAUCUGGAUCUUUACUGUUUUUACUAAGAUGCUGACCAUGCCUAUAUUCUCCAAACUGAAAUCUCUAAAAUACCUUCAUCAUUUGUAAAAUUAUUCUUCCUUCUUUUAUAAGAUAGUUAAGUUGAAGAGCCUGUCUGGCCUUAGACCUUCUGGUCAGGAGAAGAUGGACACCAUGAUGGUUAUGGUGUGUUCUGUGGGACUCUGAGGCAGGGAGGGCUGUGUCCAUGGGUGGGUCCCUCCUCCCUGCCUCUUACCCAUGCUGUACCAAUGUUGAGAAACCCCAAAAACCUCAGUGAGUUUAUACAUCUUUCUCUCUGUCUGUCUUUAUUUCUGUUUUUACUUCCAAAGCAUAAACUACUCCCUUGCUUCUGUAAUGUUUCUUCCUCCUCCAAGAUUCCCCAAUUCAGAACUGUGCUUAAGACACAAGGACAGCCUGUCCUGAACCAGAGAGUGACUACAGAUCACCCCUCACAGCUCAGAGGGCUCACUGUGUCCUGUGUCCUUAGGGAACCAUGUUUACCUUAAGAAAAUCUGAGCUGUCCUUGUCUGACCUGGGACACCUGGACACACUGAGCCUGUGUUGAUUGACCAGGAGGAGCCUCCCUGCAGCUGUGCCCAGCCUGCCCAACCCUGCUGAUUUGCAUGUGCCCACAGCACAGUCCACUGCCCUGAGGAUUUCUUAAGAGCCUUCUCACACCCUGUGCAGGAGUCAGUCUCCGUAGGACACAGCAUGGCCAUGAGGGCCCCUGCUCAGCUCCUAGGGCUCCUGAUGCUCUGCCUCCAAGGACACACAGGUGAUACUGUGAUGAUCCAGGCUCCCCCUCCUGCCUCUCACCCAUCCACCUCCUGCAGGUCGACACAGAGCCUUCUACAAACAGAUGAAUACAUUGAUUCUUGCAGAAGGCAGGAGAAUCUAUGUGGCUUCUGACCUUUUGGGCUUCCAGUUGACUCUGGGUCUCAGAAUUGCUCUGGUGACUGAAGGAAUACAAUGAGGUCCAUCAUGAAGAGAGAAGGGACUCCAGGAAGCCACCUUGGUACCAUUUCUGACCCUGUAAGAUGCAAUACUAAUAAUAAACCAGUAGGGGUCAGAACAGACCACAAUUUGCAAAGAUAAGCUUGAUCUUGGAAAUGCUAGGAAAUAAGGAGAGACACACCCUGGUCUGCUCUGAUGGAGCUGAGGGGAUGGAAAGAUGGCGAAUACACAAAGAGGUACCCUCUCCCCUUCCAGUCAAUGUGCUUCAGAGCCUGGCUGCCUAAGUGUGCAUUUCUGUCAUCACCAAGUAUCUAGUAGUUCCUUAAAGAACCCAAUUCUAAUGGCUGUUUUAGGACUGCAGGACUCAAGUAGGGCGAGGGAGAAAUGUGUGUGAGUGCAGUCUCAUUGGUCCUGAGGUUGCCACUAAUUGGGGUUAGUUGUACCUUUGACUCACUGUGGGCACCCAAGAAAGAGGAAAGGGCAGAGUACUCAGAGGGAUGAGGUUCCUAUGUAAGGAACAGAGUCCAGGCGUGGUUAGGGGGACACUCUAUGGGGUACAAAGUUGGAGAUGGCCAGUUAGUGGUCAGAGUGCAACAGGUGUGUGGGUGUGUUGGGAGGAGUGGGGACAACCUCCAGAACCCAUAUUUCCCUUCAUUCUCUGCUGAACUCUUUUUCACUUGCUUACCUGCUUCUUUAUCACUUUACCCUGCCUAAAUCCAGGGGCCCUCAGGGCAGCCAUUAAUAACUCUGCUCCAUUCUGAACUAGGAGAUGAACAAGAUUAGAAUAUGCAGUUUUUAGGAACUUUGUAGAUUCAAGGGUGUCAAUGAGGAGCAUUGCAGAGAGGGAACCUCCCCUUCUGAAGACUUUGAUCUGAUUACUAUAUAAUACAGAGGAGGAGCUGUAAUCUGUGAAUCCAAGGAAGAUUAAAUGUGGAUAUGGAUAAUCACAAGCAGAGACAAGAAGUUCACUCGUAUUCCUCUGGUGGACAGAGACACUUCCUGACCUUGGAUGACUUGGAUGUAUGUAGAGGGACACAGCAUUCAUGGACAAUCUCUUGCUUAGCUGGAGAUGAGAAGAAGAGUAAGUGAGGACAGAUCCUGCUCAUUCUUAUAAAUUGUGACCCUCCCCCAUGUUUAUUUUGAUUUUCUCAUUCACAGAAAGGGCACAAGGGAAAUGGACCAAAGAGGAGCUGGUCUCAUCUCACUAAUAUCUGUGGGGUCUCAAGCAACCUUCAUUUAACUUAAUUGCAGUUAAUGGAUUUCUGUCCUGACUGACAGACCCUGUCAGGAUGAAAUGAAGACCAAGAAAGCACAUGACCACCUUCCAGAGAUCAAGUAAUACUCUACACUGAUGGCACAAGGAGGAUGUUGUCCUUUGUCACUCAAAACACAUUAUCCACUGCCAAGUCCAUGGUGAUCUGUUUACUCUAGAGACACUUGGGCACCCUGGACCUGUGCUGAGUGACUGGCAGGAGACCACCCUGCAGCUGUGCCCAGCCCUGCCCAGCCCUCCUGAUUUGCCUGUUCCCACAGCACAGCCCACUGCCCUGAGGACUUCUUCAUAUGCCGGUCACAUCUUGUGAAGGAGUCAGUCUGAGACAGGACACAGCAUGGCCAUGAGGGCCCCUGCCAAGCUCCUGGUGCUCCUGCUCCUCUGGCUCCCAGUGUAAGAGAAUUUGAGAAAAACACUCCUUGGACAACCAACUAGUGGCAUCAUUUGUGUGUCAUGUCCCUUGGCUUCUGUCAUGAUGUUACUUUUUUUUCCCUGGAUCUUCAUAAUUCCCCAGCUUGAAAAAUCUUGUAGGAUGGCACUCUGCACCCUCCACCCAAGCUGUCACAUUAGCAAUCUGGAACCUGGAUCGGCCCAGGAGCUGUGUCUCCAACAGGGGCCAAGCGAGAGAGAAGCAGCUGUGAUAAUUAAACUUCCAUAUAACUUUUAAACGUAAAGUCAAAAUUUAAUGUAAAAUAAUAAAUGUUUUCUCCAUGUUGCUCAAUUUACUACAAAAUUUCAAGAAGGACUAGAAAGUUUGUUUUCAUUUUUAUGCUCAUAACUAAUCCCUCUUGGGAAAUUGACAUAAAACAUAUUAAUGGGUCCAGGAAAAUCAGAGCCUCUUUGUCUUUGAAAACCAGAGUAAUUUUCCUAAUAGAAAUGAUGCCAAUGAGAAUAUUUAAUAAACAGGCUUUUAUUACUUAA
Molecule: long non-coding RNA, 3479 nt
Organism: Marmota monax (woodchuck)
Lineage: Eukaryota; Metazoa; Chordata; Mammalia; Rodentia; Sciuridae
Exons: 5
Source: RefSeq, a predicted model, not a curated record